AAAAUAUACACACACACAAAAAAAGAUAAAAAUUAGAAAAAAAAGAGGACAAAAUAGACAGCAGCGUGACGAAACGAGAUUGCAUAUUUACGUA
RNAcentral lists this non-coding RNA (94 nucleotides) under Palpitomonas bilix. The record is from RNAcentral.